RNAcentral lists this ribosomal RNA (432 nucleotides) under uncultured bacterium. RNAcentral's name for it is "partial 16S ribosomal RNA". It matches the Rfam family "Bacterial small subunit ribosomal RNA", at positions 338 to 795 of the family's 1533-position model. The record is from RNAcentral.
CCUACGGGAGGCAGCAGUGGGGAAUAUUGGACAAUGGGCGAAAGCCUGAUCCAGCCAUGCCGCGUGAGUGAUGACGGCCUUAGGGUUGUAAAGCUCUUUCAUCAGGGACGCGGUACCUGAAGAAGAAGCCCCGGCUAACUUCGUGCCAGCAGCCGCGGUAAUACGAAGGGGGCUAGCGUUGUUCGGAAUUACUGGGCGUAAAGCGCAUGUAGGCGGGUCUUUAAGUCAGGGGUGAAAUGCCAAGGCUCAACCUUGGAACUGCCUUUGAUACUGGAGAUCUUGAGUCCGGGAGAGGUGAGUGGAACUGCGAGUGUAGAGGUGAAAUUCGUAGAUAUUCGCAAGAACACCAGUGGCGAAGGCGGCUCACUGGCCCGGACUGACGCUGAGAUGCGAAAGCGUGGGGAGCAAACAGGAUUAGAUACCCUUGUAGUC